CCUACGGGAGGCAGCAGUCGAGAAUCAUUCACAAUGGGGGAAACCCUGAUGGUGCGACGCCGCGUGGGGGAAUGAAGGUCUUCGGAUUGUAAACCCCUGUCAUGUGGGAGCAAAUUAAAAAGAUAGUACCACAAGAGGAAGAGACGGCUAACUCUGUGCCAGCAGCCGCGGUAAUACAGAGGUCUCAAGCGUUGUUCGGAAUCACGGGGCGUAAAGCGUGCGUAGGCUGUUUCGUAAGUCGUGUGUGAAAGGCGCGGGCUCAACCCGCGGACGGCACAUGAUACUGCGAGACUAGAGUAAGGGAGGGGGAAGCGGAAUUCUCGGUGUAGCAGUGAAAUGCGUAGAUAUCGAGAGGAACACUCGUGGCGAAGGCGGGUUCCUGGACAUUAACUGACGCUGAGGCACGAAGGCCAGGGGAGCGAAAGGGAUUAGAUACCCGAGUAGUC
RNAcentral lists this ribosomal RNA (446 nucleotides) under uncultured bacterium. RNAcentral's name for it is "partial 16S ribosomal RNA". It matches the Rfam family "Bacterial small subunit ribosomal RNA", at positions 338 to 795 of the family's 1533-position model. The record is from RNAcentral.